AUAGCUUCUUGGCUUUUGGCGAAGAUCAAAUGUAGUAUCUGUUCUUAUCAGUUUAAUAUCUGAUAUGUCCUCUAACUGAGGACAAUAUAUUCAAUGGAUUUUUGGAGCUGGAGUCAGAAGAGCUUGCUCCAUCUGCUCCAUGCAUCAACCUGGUAUUGAAGUACCCCUGGGAACUGUGCACCCCCU
This is a small nuclear RNA of Suncus etruscus (white-toothed pygmy shrew), 186 nucleotides long. RefSeq annotates it as U2 spliceosomal RNA. The record is from RefSeq and is a predicted model, not a curated record. Lineage: Eukaryota; Metazoa; Chordata; Mammalia; Eulipotyphla; Soricidae. The transcript has a single exon.